Molecule: ribosomal RNA, 537 nt
Filed under: uncultured Acinetobacter sp.
Lineage: Bacteria; Pseudomonadati; Pseudomonadota; Gammaproteobacteria; Moraxellales; Moraxellaceae
Description: bacterial SSU rRNA
Rfam family: Bacterial small subunit ribosomal RNA
Source: RNAcentral
AAUUGACGCUGGCGGCCGGCUUAACACAUGCAAGUCGAGCGGAGCGAAGUGCUUGCACCUUAGCUUAGCGGCGCAGGUGAGUAAUGCUUAGGAAUCUGCCUAUUAGUUGGGGGGACAACGUUUCGAAAGGAACGCUAAUACCGCAUACGUCCUACGGGAGAAAGCAGGGAUCUUCGGACCUUGUGCUAAUAGAUGAGCCUAAGUCGGAUUAGCUAGUUGGUGGGGUAAAGCCUACCAAGGGCGACGAUCUGUACGGGUCUGAAGGAUGAUCCGCCACACUGGGACUGAGACACGGCCAGACUCCUACGGGAGGCAGCAGUGGGGAAUAUUGGACAAUGGGCGAAAGCCUGAUCCAGCCAUGCCGCGUGUGUGAAGAAGGCCUUUUGGUUGUAAAGCACUUUAAGCGAGGAGGAGGCUUCUUUGGUUUAAUACCCAAAGUAAGUGGACGUUACUCGCAGAAUAAGCACCGGCUAACUCUGUGCCAGCAGCCGCGGUAAUACAGAGGGUGCAAAGCGUUAAUCGGAUUUACUGGGCGUA